UUGGCAAUAAGAGAAACCAUAUAAAAUUUAAAUUAUUAAUUUAAAUUAAUAAUAUGGUAUAAUAAAAUCGGAGGCCACGACUGUUUACUAAAAACACAAUUCAGAGCAAUGAUUAAGAUAAUAGUAUUCUGGAUGAAAUUUGCUCAAUGCCAUUAAUAUAAGAGAGGUAAUUUUAAAGUUACUAAUCGAAAAUCUGGUUAAUAGCGGUCUUAACUAUGAGGAUCCUAAGGUAGCAAAAUAAAUUGGCCAUUAAAUGUGGUCUUGUAUCAAUAAUGUAACGAUGGUCUCACUGUCUCUACAACUUGCUCAGUGAAAUUGAAUUGCGAGUGCAGAUGCUCGCAUCU
This 344-nucleotide ribosomal RNA is filed under the name Russula aff. foetulenta KS710. RNAcentral describes it as "LSU rRNA". It matches the Rfam family "Bacterial large subunit ribosomal RNA", at positions 1735 to 2070 of the family's 2925-position model. Lineage: Eukaryota; Fungi; Basidiomycota; Agaricomycetes; Russulales; Russulaceae. The record is from RNAcentral.